AGCGAACGCUGGCGGCAGGCUUAACACAUGCAAGUCGAGCGGGCGUAGCAAUACGUCAGCGGCAGACGGGUGAGUAACGCGUGGGAACAUACCUUUUGGUUCGGAACAACACAGGGAAACUUGUGCUAAUACCGGAUAAGCCCUUACGGGGAAAGAUUUAUCGCCGAAAGAUUGGCCCGCGUCUGAUUAGCUAGUUGGUGAGGUAACGGCUCACCAAGGCGACGAUCAGUAGCNGGUCUGAGAGGAUGAUCAGCCACAUUGGGACUGAGACACGGCCCAAACUCCUACGGGAGGCAGCAGUGGGGAAUAUUGGACAAUGGGCGCAAGCCUGAUCCAGCCAUGCCGCGUGAGUGAUGAAGGCCCUAGGGUUGUAAAGCUCUUUUGUGCGGGAAGAUAAUGACGGUACCGCAAGAAUAA
RNAcentral lists this ribosomal RNA (417 nucleotides) under uncultured bacterium. RNAcentral describes it as "bacterial SSU rRNA". It matches the Rfam family "Bacterial small subunit ribosomal RNA", at positions 29 to 489 of the family's 1533-position model. The record is from RNAcentral.